RNAcentral lists this ribosomal RNA (253 nucleotides) under uncultured bacterium. RNAcentral's name for it is "partial 16S ribosomal RNA". It matches the Rfam family "Bacterial small subunit ribosomal RNA", at positions 524 to 776 of the family's 1533-position model. The record is from RNAcentral.
UACGUAGGGGGCAAGCGUUGUCCGGAAUCAUUGGGCGUAAAGAGCGCGUAGGCGGCCAGAUAAGUCCGGUGUGAAAGUCACAGGCUCAACCUGUGAAUGCCGCUGGAAACUGUCUGGCUAGAGUCCGGUAGGGGCGAGUGGAAUUCCUGGUGUAGCGGUGAAAUGCGCAGAUAUCAGGAGGAACACCAAUGGCGAAGGCAGCUCGCUGGAACGGUACUGACGCUGAGGCGCGAAAGCGUGGGGAGCGAACAGG